This 480-nucleotide ribosomal RNA is filed under the name uncultured bacterium. Its description in RNAcentral is "bacterial SSU rRNA". It matches the Rfam family "Bacterial small subunit ribosomal RNA", at positions 28 to 507 of the family's 1533-position model. The record is from RNAcentral.
GAUGAACGCUGGCGGCGUGCCUAACACAUGCAAGUCGAGCGAGAACCGCUGGAAUGACACUUCGGUAGAAUGAAAGCGGGGAAAGCGGCGGACGGGUGAGUAACGCGUAGGUAACCUGCCCCAUACACAGGGAUAGCCUAGGGAAACCUGGAUUAAUACCUGAUGAAGCAACUGGUCGCAUGACCGGCUGCCAAAGAUUUAUCGGUAUGGGAUGGACCUGCGUCUGAUUAGUGAGUUGGUGGGGGUAAUGGCCUACCAAAGCGACGAUCAGUAGCCGACCUGAGAGGGUGAUCGGCCACAUUGGAACUGAGACACGGUCCAAACUCCUGCGGGAGGCAGCAGUGGGGGAUAUUGCACAAUGGGCGGAAGCCUGAUGCAGCAACGCCGCGUGAGCGAAGAAGGUCUUCGGAUCGUAAAGCUCUGUCCUGGGGGAAGAAACAAAUGACGGUACCCCGGGAGGAAGCCCCGGCUAACUACGUG